UACGAAGGGGGCUAGCGUUGUUCGGAAUCACUGGGCGUAAAGGGCGCGUAGGCGGAUCUUUAAGUCGGGGGUGAAAGCCUGAGGCUCAACCUCAGAAUUGCCUUCGAUACUGGAGAUCUUGAGACCGGAAGAGGUAAGUGGAACUGCGAGUGUAGAGGUGAAAUUCGUAGAUAUUCGCAAGAACACCAGUGGCGAAGGCGGCUUACUGGUCCGGUUCUGACGCUGAGGCGCGAAAGCGUGGGGAGCAAACAGG
This 253-nucleotide ribosomal RNA is filed under the name uncultured bacterium. Its description in RNAcentral is "partial 16S ribosomal RNA". It matches the Rfam family "Bacterial small subunit ribosomal RNA", at positions 524 to 776 of the family's 1533-position model. The record is from RNAcentral.